CUGCGGCGCUGUCCUUAGACAUGUUGCACUGUUGACGCUGAUGAAGAAUAGGCGGCACCAAAGCUUUAAAGACUAGUAUCUUUUGAAAUUGAAAUUUGCCUCUCAGUCUCUCAAGAAUCAAGAUGCCAAAUAGAUGUGCAGGAUUUGAUUGCUGACAAACCAGGGAUGAGGCUCAAGAGUCAAGAGAUCACCCUGCAUUGGCAAGUGGCUGGAACAACCCCAGUGCCGCACAGUUCUGCGGGAUAUUCCGGCACCUGCUCCACCGCUGCGGCGUCCGGCCCGGCAGCACAGGGAAAGUGGCAGCCCUCGACCCGACCAGCAUCCUGGCAGUCGGUCACACGACCAGCGGACGGGGAGCCAGCCUUACUACCUCGGCCUCCACCACCUCAGACAACGGUGCCACGGCACUCCACAUCAUCACGGAGCACGACUUCCAGCCUGGGCUGUCGUCUGGUGGGCAACAUCGUCACCUACAUCGCAGGGUUCGUGGUGAAGAAGGCGCUCGACUCUGUCAGCUGUUGCACCUGUCAGGAGGCCCUGGUGAGCGACAUCCAGCCGGACGACAUGACACAGCUUUACCACCUCUUCAUCAUCUCUGCCAGAUGAGCUAAGGUGGGGACGGGUUACAUGCCUGGGAUCUGACUGAGACCCGCUCAUACCCUGCCGAAGUGUUGGUGAUUUCAGCGGUCAGCUGUCUCUAGCCGGUGUCAGUGAGUGGCGGCCAGCUGCCGCUGGAGUGGGUAUCUACCGUCGAUAGCUGCUGUGUGGCGGAUAGCGUGGAUUUGGAUGGACACUUCAUAUUAAUGAACAGAUCAAUGUCUGGCCGAUAAAAAACGUAUUUUGUCGAUGAUUGCUUAGUGACUGAGUGGGUCCACUGGCGACCAAUGCAGU
Molecule: long non-coding RNA, 891 nt
Organism: Amphibalanus amphitrite
Lineage: Eukaryota; Metazoa; Arthropoda; Thecostraca; Balanomorpha; Balanidae
Exons: 4
Source: RefSeq, a predicted model, not a curated record